AGCCGAGCGGUAGAGAUCUUUCGGGAUCUUGAGAGCGGCGUACGGGUGCGGAACACGUGUGCAACCUGCCUUUAUCUGGGGGAUAGCCUUUCGAAAGGAAGAUUAAUACCCCAUAAUAUACUGAAUGGCAUCAUUCGGUAUUGAAAACUCCGGUGGAUAGAGAUGGGCACGCGCAAGAUUAGAUAGUUGGUGAGGUAACGGCUCACCAAGUCUACGAUCUUUAGGGGGCCUGAGAGGGUGAUCCCCCACACUGGUACUGAGACACGGACCAGACUCCUACGGGAGGCAGCAGUGAGGAAUAUUGGACAAUGGGUGAGAGCCUGAUCCAGCCAUCCCGCGUGAAGGACGACGGCCCUAUGGGUUGUAAACUUCUUUUGUAUAGGGAUAAACCUACCCUCGUGAGGGUAGCUGAAGGUACUAUACGAAUAAGCACCGGCUAACUCCGUGCCAGCAGCCGCGGUAAUACGGAGGGUGCAAGCGUUAUCCGGAUUUAUUGGGUUUAAAGGGUCCGUAGGCGGAUCUGUAAGUCAGUGGUGAAAUCUCACAGCUUAACUGUGAAACUGCCAUUGAUACUGCAGGUCUUGAGUGUUGUUGAAGUAGCUGGAAUAAGUAGUGUAGCGGUGAAAUGCAUAGAUAUUACUUAGAACACCAAUUGCGAAGGCAGGUUACUAAGCAACAACUGACGCUGCUGGACGAAAGCGUGGGGAGCGAACAGGAUUAGAUACCCUGGUAGUCCACGCCGUAAACGAUGCUAACUCGUUUUUGGAAUGUAAGUUUCAGAGACUAAGCGAAAGUGAUAAGUUAGCCACCUGGGGAGUACGAACGCAAGUUUGAAACUCAAAGGAAUUGACGGGGGCCCGCACAAGCGGUGGAUUAUGUGGUUUAAUUCGAUGAUACGCGAGGAACCUUACCAAGGCUUAAAUGGGAAAUGACAGGUUUAGAAAUAGACUUUUCUUCGGACAUUUUUCAAGGUGCUGCAUGGUUGUCGUCAGCUCGUGCCGUGAGGUGUUAGGUUAAGUCCUGCAACGAGCGCAACCCCUGUCACUAGUUGCCAUCAUUAAGUUGGGGACUCUAGUGAGACUGCCUACGCAAGUAGAGAGGAAGGUGGGGAUGACGUCAAAUCAUCACGGCCCUUACGCCUUGGGCCACACACGUAAUACAAUGGCCGGUACAGAGGGCAGCUACACUGCGAAGUGAUGCAAAUCUCGAAAGCCGGUCUCAGUUCGGAUUGGAGUCUGCAACUCGACUCUAUGAAGCUGGAAUCGCUAGUAAUCGCGCAUCAGCCAUGGCGCGGUGAAUACGUUCCCGGGCCUUGUACACACCGCCCGUCAAGCCAUGGAAGUCUGGGGUACCUGAAGUCGGUGACCGUAACA
This 1373-nucleotide ribosomal RNA is filed under the name Chryseobacterium sp. Its description in RNAcentral is "bacterial SSU rRNA". It matches the Rfam family "Bacterial small subunit ribosomal RNA". Lineage: Bacteria; Pseudomonadati; Bacteroidota; Flavobacteriia; Flavobacteriales; Weeksellaceae. The record is from RNAcentral.